GCGCUCUCUUCAGCAGCACAUAUACUAAAAUUGGAACGACACAGAGAUUAGCAUGACCCCUGUGCAUGGCUGACACAUAUUCGUUCAUAUUUUU
Rattus norvegicus (Norway rat) is the source of this 94-nucleotide small nuclear RNA. Lineage: Eukaryota; Metazoa; Chordata; Mammalia; Rodentia; Muridae. The record is from Ensembl.